CUCCAGCGAUGAGCUCGCACCUCACCGUGGUGCUGGAGUCUAGUAGCCAGGGUGUAUUGCCUAUGGUGAAGCUAAGACGAGC
RNAcentral lists this non-coding RNA (82 nucleotides) under Aspergillus niger CBS 513.88. The record is from RNAcentral. Lineage: Eukaryota; Fungi; Ascomycota; Eurotiomycetes; Eurotiales; Aspergillaceae.